AGCGCAGGCGGGAAGACAAGUUGGAAGUGAAAUCCAUGGGCUCAACCCAUGAACUGCUUUCAAAACUGUUUUUCUUGAGUAGUGCAGAGGUAGGCGGAAUUCCCGGUGUAGCGGUGGAAUGCGUAGAUAUCGGGAGGAACACCAGUGGCGAAGGCGGCUUACUGGACGGUAACUGACGUUGAGGCUCGAAAGCGUGGGGAGCAAAACA
This 208-nucleotide ribosomal RNA is filed under the name uncultured bacterium. RNAcentral's name for it is "partial 16S ribosomal RNA". It matches the Rfam family "Bacterial small subunit ribosomal RNA", at positions 568 to 775 of the family's 1533-position model. The record is from RNAcentral.